RNAcentral lists this ribosomal RNA (432 nucleotides) under Desulfofustis sp. RNAcentral describes it as "bacterial SSU rRNA". It matches the Rfam family "Bacterial small subunit ribosomal RNA", at positions 1 to 416 of the family's 1533-position model. Lineage: Bacteria; Pseudomonadati; Thermodesulfobacteriota; Desulfobulbia; Desulfobulbales; Desulfocapsaceae. The record is from RNAcentral.
AAACUGGAGAGUUUGAUCCUGGCUCAGAACGAACGCUGGCGGCGUGCUUAACACAUGCAAGUCGAACGCGAACGGUUCCUUCGGGGACUUAGUAGAGUGGCGCACGGGUGAGUAACGCGUAAGUAAUCUCCCCUCGCAUUCGGGAUAACCCACCGAAAGGUGUGCUAAUACCGGAUACGUCUGGAAUAAUGACUUUUUUUCAGAGAAAGGCAGCCUCUAUUUAUAUGCUGUCGUGCGAGGAUGAGCUUGCGUACCAUUAGCUAGUUGGUAGGGUAAGAGCCUACCAAGGCGACGAUGGUUAGCGGGUCUGAGAGGAUGAUCCGCCACACUGGAACUGGAACACGGACCAGACUCCUACGGGAGGCAGCAGUGAGGAAUAUUGCGCAAUGGGGGCAACCCUGACGCAGCGACGCCGCGUGGAUGAUGAAGGCC